Molecule: ribosomal RNA, 375 nt
Filed under: uncultured bacterium
Lineage: Bacteria
Description: bacterial SSU rRNA
Rfam family: Bacterial small subunit ribosomal RNA
Source: RNAcentral
AAUCAACGCUGGCGGCGUGCCUAACACAUGCAAGUCGCACGAGAAAGGGACUUCGGUCCUGAGUACAGUGGCGCACGGGUGAGUAACACGUGAAUAAUCUACCUCCGAGUGGGGAAUAACUGAGAGAAAUCUUAGCUAAUACCGCAUAACACUUACGAGUCAAAGCAGCAAUGCGCUUGGAGAGGAGUUCGCGGCAGAUUAGUUAGUUGGCAGGGUAAUGGCCUACCAAGACGAUGAUCUGUAUCCGGCCUGAGAGGGCGCACGGACACACUGGAACUGAAACACGGUCCAGACUCCUACGGGAGGCAGCAGUGGGGAAUUUUGCACAAUGGGCGCAAGCCUGAUGCAGCAACGCCGCGUGCGGGAUGACGGCCU